GUGCCAGCCGCCGCGGUAAGACGUAGGGGGCGAGCGUUGUCCGGAUUUACUGGGCGUAAAGAGCGCGUAGGCGGUCUGUUAAGUCAGAAGUGAAAUCUCCAGGGCUCAACCCGGAAACUGCUUUUGAUACUGAUAGACUUGAGUGUCGGAGAGGUAACUGGAAUUCCUGGUGUAGCGGUGACAUGCAUUGAUAUCAGGAGGAACACCCAUGGCGAAGGCAGGUUACUGGCCGACAACUGACGCUGAGGCGCGAAAGCGUGGGUAGCAAACAGAAUUAGAUACCCGGGUAGUCC
RNAcentral lists this ribosomal RNA (293 nucleotides) under uncultured bacterium. RNAcentral's name for it is "partial 16S ribosomal RNA". It matches the Rfam family "Bacterial small subunit ribosomal RNA", at positions 505 to 796 of the family's 1533-position model. The record is from RNAcentral.